UGGGAUGACGUCAAUCAUCAUGCCCUUAUGACCUGGGCUACACACGUGCUACAAUGGUUGGUACAACGAGUUGCGAGUCGGUGACGGCGAGCUAAUCUCUUAAAGCCAAUCUCAGUUCGGAUUGUAGGCUGCAACUCGCCUACAUGAAGUCGGAAUCGCUAGUAAUCGCGGAUCAGCACGCCGCGGUGAAUACGUUCCCGGGCCUU
This 206-nucleotide ribosomal RNA is filed under the name uncultured Streptococcus sp. Its description in RNAcentral is "partial 16S ribosomal RNA". It matches the Rfam family "Bacterial small subunit ribosomal RNA", at positions 1175 to 1382 of the family's 1533-position model. Lineage: Bacteria; Bacillati; Bacillota; Bacilli; Lactobacillales; Streptococcaceae. The record is from RNAcentral.